CAUUUUAUAAAAACACAUGUUAAAAUAUUAUUAGCUCACGGAGGAAUUUACUAUACACAUUACACCAUGCCAUUUUGACCUGCAGUAGCAGUUUAAAAAAAAUCAAAAAACAUAUAUAUUAGUAAAUUAGUUAAUGAAGGAUUAGGUUAAUUAGUGAAUAAAUUAUCCUCCUCCUUCCUCAACCCAUCAUCUUCUCCCACCCCAUGAGAAACCCAGCACCACUGAUUAUUCUCCUCCUUGCACUCACCCACAAACCCAGAACCCACCCCCUUCAUCCCUGCCGCAACCCCACAACCACCCCCCACCGAACUUCACCCAUCCCCAUUGCAACCCACAACCGAAAAUCGACCCCCAACCUCAAUCUGGGUUCGUCGCCGUCAUCAACAACGCUCAACGCUCUCGGAAUCCUCAAAUGUCGUCGCCGUCAUCUGGGUUUAGGGUUCUGCAGCAGUGGUGAAGACUGAACCACCACCACCACUAAUUUGCCCUGCAUCGGCUUUGCACUUGGUGGCUCUGACGGAGAUCGAAGCGGAGGAGGCGUAUGAAGACCAGAUCGAGGAAGACUUUUAGAGUGGCUACAGGGAGUGGGUUUAGCUGCGAGUUUGGGGAGUAAGAUGGUUGUGUGGUGGCCGGAAGUUUCAGGUGAAGGUUGAGUGUGAUGGUUCACGGUGGUCAGAGGGGAGGUUAGGGAAGGAAGAGUAGUGUCGGUGGCUGCUGGGUUUUUGGUGGUGGUGGUCGUUGGCUUCAACUCUCUACAAAGGAGGUAUGGAGUUGUUUUUGUGUGCCAAAGAGAAAGUAAUGUGAUUCAAUGCCCUUCAGAUUUUAUGAUUAUUUGCGUUUUCUCUUGAAGAUGAUGAUAUUAUAUCCAUUGAAGCUUCAAAUCGACCCAGAAGUUGAAGGCUCUGUUGAGGGUUAAUGCUUCUCCGAUCUGGGUUUCUGUUGAGGACUUUUGUUUAUGUUGAGGGCUAAGCUUGAUAUUACAUCCAUAGGUUAAUUUGCUGAGUUUGAUGGGUUAAAAAGCUUUAAGCUUGAAGCUUUGUCUGAGGAAUGAAGAAGUUGGAUGAUGAACAUGGAUUUGAGGAUGAAGAGGAACCUAGAUGAGCUUAACUUAAAUUAAGGAUAAAUGUUUUUUUUCUAAAUUAAUUAAAGAUAAAUGUUUAAUUAAGAAAAUAUUUAUUUGGAUUAUUUUUUAAAACCUGUUAUAGUGGGUCAAAAUAGCCUAGUGUAACUUUACACAAGUUUUUAGGUGAUCAUAGUAAAUUUUUCCGUAGCUCACUCAAUAUAAAACGAAUUUACUUAGAAUAAUUUAAACAAGCACAUUUUUAUCAUGUCAGCUAGGUCUCUACGUACACCACCUGUUGUGAGACUUUUUCUUUUAUAAAAUUUUCUUUUGGUACAAGACGCAAAGAAAAACUAGGACUGACUUGUAAGAGUUAUAACACCUGAAUAAUUCGCAAAAGAAAAGCUGAAAUGCCAAUAGGAAAUGGCGGAAGUAGAAAAAAAUUUAAGGGUCUAAAAUAAUUUUUCAUUACAAAAAUUCAAAUAUGUUUAUUAGCAACGCACACAUAUCUUAAUCUUAAUAAUAUAUAAAGCCCAUCCACCAAAGUGGGCCACAUUGUUAUUUAA
Long non-coding RNA from Lotus japonicus, 1626 nucleotides. RefSeq lists it as uncharacterized. NCBI's taxonomy places the organism in Eukaryota, Viridiplantae, Streptophyta, Magnoliopsida, Fabales, Fabaceae. The record is from RefSeq and is a predicted model, not a curated record. The transcript is spliced from 2 exons.